RNAcentral lists this non-coding RNA (48 nucleotides) under Schistosoma mansoni. Lineage: Eukaryota; Metazoa; Platyhelminthes; Trematoda; Strigeidida; Schistosomatidae. The record is from RNAcentral.
AUCCAGAUGACGAGUCCCAAAUACGACGAAAUGAGCGUCAAACUGGAU